Molecule: small nuclear RNA, 107 nt
Organism: Suncus etruscus (white-toothed pygmy shrew)
Lineage: Eukaryota; Metazoa; Chordata; Mammalia; Eulipotyphla; Soricidae
Source: RefSeq, a predicted model, not a curated record
GUGUUCAUUUUGGCAGCACAAAUAUUAAAAUUGGAAUGAUACAGAGGAAAUUAGCAUGGGCUCUGCACAAGGGUAACUCAAAAAUAUGUGAAGACUUUCUUAGUUUU